RNAcentral lists this ribosomal RNA (632 nucleotides) under uncultured fungus. RNAcentral's name for it is "eukaryotic LSU rRNA". It matches the Rfam family "Eukaryotic large subunit ribosomal RNA", at positions 24 to 664 of the family's 3401-position model. Lineage: Eukaryota; Fungi. The record is from RNAcentral.
CCCGCUGAACUUAAGCAUAUCAAUAAGCGGAGGAAAAGAAACUAACAAGGAUUCCCCUAGUAACUGCGAGUGAAGCGGGAAAAGCUCAAAUUUAAAAUCUGGUGGCCUCUGGUCACCCGAGUUGUAAUUUAGAGAAGCGUCUUCCGCGCUGGACCAUGCACAAGUCUCCUGGAAUGGAGCGUCAUAGAGGGUGAGAAUCCCGUCUUUGGCAUGGAUGCACCAGGGCUUCUGUGAUACACUCUCAAAGAGUCGAGUUGUUUGGGAAUGCAGCUCAAAAUGGGUGGUAAAUUCCAUCUAAAGCUAAAUAUUGGCGAGAGACCGAUAGCGAACAAGUACCGUGAGGGAAAGAUGAAAAGCACUUUGGAAAGAGAGUUAAACAGUACGUGAAAUUGUUGAAAGGGAAACGCUUGGAGUCAGUCGCGUUUGUUAGAACUCAGCUUGGCUUCUGCUUAGUGUACUUUCUAAUGAACGGGCCAACAUCGAUUUCAGUCAGUGGAUAAGGGUAAGAGGAAUGUGGCACCUUCGGGUGUGUUAUAGCCUCUUAUCGUAUACAUUUACUGGGAUCGAGGUCUGCAGCACUUGUGCUUAGGAUGUUGGCAUAAUGGCUUUAAUCGACCCGUCUUGAAACACGG